AGCUUUGUGCAGUGGCAAUAUCGUAGCCAAUGAGGUUUAUCUGAGGUGUGAUUAUUGCUAAUUGAAACAGAUUCAUAGUGCACAGAGAGUGGGAUUUGUGGUUAGCUACAUCUAGA
Small nuclear RNA from Rhinopithecus bieti (black snub-nosed monkey), 116 nucleotides. Its record names the gene U4. It matches the Rfam family "U4 spliceosomal RNA". From Rfam's summary of the family: U4 small nuclear RNA (U4 snRNA) is a component of the major U2-dependent spliceosome. The structure of U4 snRNA from yeast and human has been reported. NCBI's taxonomy places the organism in Eukaryota, Metazoa, Chordata, Mammalia, Primates, Cercopithecidae. The record is from Ensembl.